AUUGAACGCUGGCGGCAGGCCUAACAAAUGCAAGUCGAGCGGAGCGGCGGCAGGGUGAGUAAUGACUAGGAAGGAACCUGGCAGUGGGGGGAAGCGUCCGGAAGCGGGCGCUAAUAACGCAUGCUAUCCAGUGGGCGUAAGUCGGAUUCGCUAGUUGGUGGGGUAAAGGCUUACCAAGGCGACGAUCCGUAGCUGGUCUGAGAGGAUGAUUAGUCACAAUGGAACUUAGACACGGUCCAGACUCCUACGGGAGGCAGCAGUGGGGAAUAUUGGACAAUGGGCCAAAGCCUUAGCCAGCCAUGCCGCGUGUGUUAAGAAGGUCUUCGGAUUGUAAAGCACUUUAAGUUGGGAGGCGGUACCAACAGAAGAAGCAACGGCUAACUCCGGGCCAGCAGCCGCGGUAAUAC
RNAcentral lists this ribosomal RNA (407 nucleotides) under uncultured bacterium. Its description in RNAcentral is "partial 16S ribosomal RNA". It matches the Rfam family "Bacterial small subunit ribosomal RNA", at positions 30 to 526 of the family's 1533-position model. The record is from RNAcentral.